Y RNA from Pongo abelii (Sumatran orangutan), 102 nucleotides. It matches the Rfam family "Y RNA". Rfam says of the family: Y RNAs are components of the Ro ribonucleoprotein particle (Ro RNP), in association with Ro60 and La proteins. The Y RNAs and Ro60 and La proteins are well conserved, but the function of the Ro RNP is not known. In humans the RNA component can be one of four small RNAs -- hY1, hY3, hY4 and hY5. The record is from Ensembl. NCBI's taxonomy places the organism in Eukaryota, Metazoa, Chordata, Mammalia, Primates, Hominidae.
GGGUGGCCUGAAUGCAGUGGUGUUUACAACUAAUUAAUCACAACCAGUUACAGAUUUCUUUGCUCCUUCUCCAUUCCCACUACUUCACUUGACUAGCCUAAA